GAUGAAGAACGAAGCGAAAUGCGAUACUUGGUGUGAAUUGCAGAAUCCCGUGAACCAUCGAGUCUUUGAACGCAAGUUGCGCCCGAAGCCAUUAGGCCGAGGGCACGCCUGCCUGGGCGUCACACGUCGUUGCCCCCCCAUCUACUCCUUCGGGAUUGCGGGGGGCGGAUGAUGGCCUCCCGUGCGCCACGCCGCGCGGUUGGCAUAAAUGCCAAGUCCUCGGCGACGCACGCCACGACAAUCGGUGGUUGCGAAACCUCGGUUGCCCGUCGUGUGCGGUCGUCGCGCAUCGAGGGCUCGAAAAAAUUGCCGGGUUCCGGCUCGGCUUUCAACGCGACCCCAGGUCAGGCGGGGUUACCCGCUGAAUUUAAGCAUAUCAAUAAGCGGAGGA
Molecule: unclassified non-coding RNA, 391 nt
Filed under: soil metagenome
Description: partial contains 5.8S ribosomal RNA, internal transcribed spacer 2, and large subunit ribosomal RNA
Rfam family: 5.8S ribosomal RNA (bases 1-122)
Source: RNAcentral